Long non-coding RNA from Canis lupus familiaris (dog), 485 nucleotides. RefSeq lists it as uncharacterized. Lineage: Eukaryota; Metazoa; Chordata; Mammalia; Carnivora; Canidae. The record is from RefSeq and is a predicted model, not a curated record. The transcript has 3 exons.
CUCGCGGGAGGGGGCGCGGGGAGCGGGGCACGCCGGGGAACGGAGGCGAGAACUAGAGCGCAAGCGGAAGGGAGCUGGAUGUGUCAUGGAGAAGAAGCAUAGAAUGAAAAGAGAUGCAGGAGUUGAGGCAGCCAUACACUUCUUUUAGAAGCAGUAUCCCUCUAUAAUUUGGCAGAGAGAAGAGAGAGGAAAUCUUAAGCAUUUUGGACUAAGCAUGGAGCCUGACAUGGGGCUUGAUCUCAUAAUCCUGAGUUCAUCACCUGAGCCAAAAUCAAGAGUUGGAUGCUUAACCGACUAAGCCACCCAGGUGCCCCAAAGAGGUUGCUAUGAGAAAAUGUAAGCCUAGAAAUGCUGGAAGCCGUGUUUGGGAAAAGCCUACCUGGAAAUUAUGCCAAGUCAGAGGAAAGCAGAGCAUAAUGAUGGAGAAAAUCAGAUUCCUGAUAACAUUGUAUGUAUGCCUAGAUCAAGCCAGACCUGUAACUAAC